GUGCCAGCCGCCGCGGUAAUACGGACCGGACAAACGUUAUUCGGAAUCACUGGGCUUAAAGAGUACGUAGGCGGCUCAGAAAGUUGGGUGUGAAAUCCCUCGGCUCAACCGAGGAAUUGCGCUCAAAACUACUGUGCUUGAGGAAGGUAGGGGUAAGCGGAACUGAUGGUGGAGCGGUGAAAUGCGUUGAUAUCAUCAGGAACACCAGUGGCGAAGGCGGCUUACUGGGCCUUUUCUGACGCUGAGGUACGAAAGCUAGGGUAGCGAACGGGAUUAGAAACCCCCGUAGUCC
RNAcentral lists this ribosomal RNA (292 nucleotides) under uncultured bacterium. Its description in RNAcentral is "partial 16S ribosomal RNA". It matches the Rfam family "Bacterial small subunit ribosomal RNA", at positions 505 to 796 of the family's 1533-position model. The record is from RNAcentral.